This 1653-nucleotide long non-coding RNA is filed under the name Citrus x clementina. RNAcentral describes it as "Citrus clementina (C. clementina) long non-coding RNA (CCLE_LNC006199)". Lineage: Eukaryota; Viridiplantae; Streptophyta; Magnoliopsida; Sapindales; Rutaceae. The record is from RNAcentral.
AGCCGAGUUGGUUAACAAAAAUGCCUUUCUUAACUUUGCUGGUAAUGGGUUACUAGGGCUUUUGGCCCUUUUGAAUUUAUUUAAAUGAUUAGUUUAACUCUUUUUCUAGAUCACUACUUUUCUUCAUCUCUUUUUUCACACUUUUCAAAAAUUAUUCCCCUGCAACUUUUUCGUGACUCCAACCUCCAAUGCCUUUACUUACUUUUUUUUUUAUCACUUUCUUUUUUUUUUAUCACUUUCUUUUUUUUUUUUUCCCUCAAAGCUCUUUCUUCGUCACUUUCUUUUACUCAAGGCUUUUUCUUCAUUACUUUCUUUUGUUGAAGGCUUUCCAGUAAGCUUCAGAACAUGCUUCGUUCCUCAUUUAUUCAUUAUUUAUUAUUAUUUUAUUUUUUGUUCUUCUUUCUCACCUCCUUUUGCUUUCUUUUUCUUGUUUUGGUUGGUUUCCUCUCUGGUGGCUUUUUGCCCUUUUUUUUGUUUCCUCUCUCGGUUCUCUUUCUUUCUUUCUUUUGCUCUUUUUUUUGUGUGUGUGUUCCUUCUCCUCAUGGCCUUUUGCCUUUUUGCUUUUGUUUUUGUUGUUUUUUUUUUUGUUUCUGCUCUCUCUCUCUCUUUUUCAUUUGGUUUUGAAUUUUAGUUUCAUAAUUGAUUAUAGCUUAUAAUCCCAAAAAGCAUCAGACAUAUUGCUUCAAUAUAUUGAUUCUUAUCGCUUCAGUAUAUAUGCAUCAGAUUUUUGUUUAUGCUCUUUGUUUCUGCUCUCUUUUUUUUUUUUUAAUUCGGUUUUGAAUUUUUCUCAAUUUGAUUUUUUUUUUACAGGAACAUGGUUGCCCCCUAGAGUAGAGAGGCUCUCAUUUCACUGAUUUGUAGAAUAUGUGGACCUUGGCCCUGAUGUCCAGUUGAGAGAGCUUGCGGAUAAUGUUGAUAUGGAUCUUGGAAUUGAUAGGGAGUCAAUUUUACUUUACCGCCAGUAAAUCGAAGUAUUAUCAUUCCCUAUUUCUCCCCUGGUUAUGGAAUUUUUUGCUCGUUGUGGAGUUUCGCCUUCGAUGAUUAACUCUUGUGUUCCAAUAUUAUUAAGAGCCUUUGCCACCACCAAUUUGGCUCUUAAGGGGUCCCAUUUCUUCUCAUUGUAUGAUUUCUUAAUAUGUUAUAGACUUAAACUUUAUAGUGGUCCUAAAGACGAAAGGGAUUCAUGGUUCACUGAGGUUUGAGGAUAAGGGUGUUUUUUAUAAAAUUCCUUCUUCGAUGAAAAAGGAUCAGUUUAGGGAGUGGUCAGUCAACUAUCCUGUAAUAGUUACUGGCUAUUGGUGUAGGAGGGAGCAUAUGGAAUCCUAUGUUCUCAGUUAUGUAUUUUGAAAAAAGCUCCGUAAGUUUGUAUUCCUUAUUUAUAAUAGUAUGUCUUUUGCUAUGUGUGGAUGCCUUUUGUUUUGUUAUUUGCGGUACUCACUUUUUUUUUUUUAGUUGUACCUAUUGUUGAUCCUCCUUUAUUGGGUGCUCGAGUGGCGUAUUUGGAGAGGAAUUUUUUGGGAAAAGAUUUUUCGUGCGCUACAGAAUUGAUUUCACGUCAAUGUUUGAGACAAGUUGGUCGAUUUAAUUAUGUUUGUCAUGUUGAUAGCUUGUGUUUGAGAGGAGGCUAUAUUGUUUUUCUCCUUGGAGUUGCCC